GCUUUCCCCGUUACAGGCUCACCUACACGCCCCUCUACAGCCCUCUUAAACUAUCCGACACCCUUUUCGUGUGCACCCCGCCACCCCCACCCCCAGCGCCCGCGCACGCUUGACUCGACUCGCUUAUCCCCAUAGUCGCGCUCUACCCAUUCCUUCACUACCCCCUCCCCCUCUAAACACUUAUCUCCCCCGCUUAUACACCAUGGGAAGCUCCUGCACGAAGGACUCCGCAAAGGAGCCCCAGAAGCGUGCUGAUAACAUCGAUACGACCACUCGAAGCGAUGAGAAGGACGGCAUCCAUGUCCAGGAGAGCGCCGGUCCUGUGCAGGAGAACUUUGGGGAUGCGCAGGAGAAGAACGAAGAUGGACACAACGUGGGGGAUGGAGCUAACGGCAAUGAGGAUGGUAACGAUGAUCAGCCGAAGGAGCAGGUUGCCGGCAACUAGUGCACUGCGUCCGGGCUUGUGUGCGAGCCGUGCUCUGCACCCCGCCGUUCGUGCAUCCUCGCAUGUGGACCGCGUGUGUGUCUCCCGCUUUAUCUCUCUUCCCCGCACAGUGGCUGAUGCCUGCACGGGGUCGCUGUGGCUGCACCUGCUGACCACUGCCAGCGUUCUCGGCUCGCCCUCCUCUCUCCGCCUCCGAGUGUGCGGUACGGGCUGGCCUGGGCGCGCCGCGGAUGUCGUCGGUGCGUGCGGGGUCAUCGCCGAGAGUUUGGCACCUGGGCUGCUGCUACGCAACUGUGGCCAGGCCAGGCCCUGCCUCUGUGUGUGCUGUGAUCGCCGGCUCUAGCUUCACGCUCGCUGCCCCUGCGUGGACGGUCUUUGUUUCUUGUUUCUUUUCGAUUGCCUCUGCACACGCGCAUAUCCUCCUCCCUGCCCACCCCUCCACCUCUGUUUCCGGGUGUCUCGUGAGAGCCUUGUGAUGCCCCGCUCCCGCGUACCGGGGUUCCAUUGGUGAUGUGCAUCGUGUUCGCUGGUCAUUGGCCCCGUUAUCUCGAUGCUCUCGAGGCGAGCUGUGUUUUCUUCUCUCUACGGUGCUCUCCAUUUUUCUCUUUGUGGUGGCGCUCGGGCGGAAGGUGCGGAAAUGUGUGCAGUUGUUUCGAUGGUGUCGGCGAAGAAGACGCGCGCUGACGUGAGCUACGUGAAAGGGUCAAGGCGAACAAGCAAUGAAGGAAAAGGGCGGUGCGGCUGAGAAGCCGCUGCGCAUCCCUACGUUCUCAACGCCGCUGCGAACCUCGUUUUGAAAAAUGAGAAAAUGACACCGAAAAGGGAGGUGGCCGGUUUUCACGAUAGCGGAGCAACUCAGAGGGAUAGAGGCAUGCCGGUAGGCUGAAGAUGCUCGAAAGGGGAGUUUUUUGAAGGAGCAGCAACGUUUUUCUUUCGUUCUUUCCAAGUGUGUUGAUGUGGGCACUAUAGUUACAGACACACAUACACAUACAGUUACUAUGGUCCUACAGCAGCAACCGUUCUCUCACACGCUGACGAGCGAACUGGAGCGGACGAGGAGGCGAUGCCUGGAUAUCUCCCCUCCCGCUUUUUUUCUUUCGUGCAUCUUCUUCAGCUUCCCGUUUUUGGUAUAUUUGUCCGUGUAGCGUGAUGGGCUCUCGCACCUUUCUCUUCGUCCUUUCCGUGGCUUAUAUUUUUUUGAUUUUGUAUGCGCUCCCAUGUAUCUUUUUUUAUUAUGUUUGUACGCGUCUCCACUCUUUUCUUUCUUCAGUCGUGGUUUUCCAACAGCAUAUAUGUUUUACAUCUCGCACACGCGCUUACACGCACGCGAACACGAAACCACCGCAGCAUAUGUACAUACAAUACAUAUGGUGGGCGCACAUACCGUAUAUCAUACCUACAACUGUGGUGCUCGUCUACAGAUACACACAGCAGACGAAAAAAAAAGGAUGAAAAGGGGGUUCUCUUUUUGGUUUUGUUUUCCCUUUUCCCUCUCUCCUCUACCCCCUCCUUUUUUUACACCCUUUCCGUUGUUGUGUGCUGUGCACCUCCCACCAAUACACCGCCACGCACACAUAUAUGAAAACAGUUACAGAAUGGAAGGCACCUGCACGGCUUCAUGGAAAGAUGGAGAGAGAGAAGCGGAGCGCUGCUGCGCUCCCGUUUGUGCUCGCCCCCUCUCACCCUUGCGCUUUUUUUUGGGGUUUACGGGGUCUGCAUGCCUGCGUAGAGGCUGACCUCGUACCACGCCAUCGAUGAGGAAGAGACGAGGUUAAAAAAAAGCAGGCCGGCUAUCUUGUAAAAGAUCAGCCUCUCUCUCUGUGUCUGUGUGUAUGUGUGCUGUGCUGCAGAGGCUUGCAUUCCAACUUCCGUGGCAAUGAAAUCCCUUGAUUCGAAAAUGUUUAUUUUUCAAACAAAAAGAAUCUCUCAAUCAGGUUUGCCGGCAAUCGUAUGAAGUUGAAAC
RNAcentral lists this unclassified non-coding RNA (2408 nucleotides) under Leishmania donovani. RNAcentral's name for it is "gene:LdHU3.23.1600(CDS-product:hydrophilic_acylat ed_surface_protein_a)". The record is from RNAcentral. Lineage: Eukaryota; Euglenozoa; Kinetoplastea; Trypanosomatida; Trypanosomatidae.